GAGGGUAUAUCUUAGUGGUAAAGUACAUGCUUAGUAUGCACAAGGUCCUGGGCUCAAUCCCCAGUACCUCCA
This 72-nucleotide transfer RNA is filed under the name Camelus bactrianus (Bactrian camel). It matches the Rfam family "tRNA". Rfam says of the family: Transfer RNA (tRNA) molecules are approximately 80 nucleotides in length. Their secondary structure includes four short double-helical elements and three loops (D, anti-codon, and T loops). RNAcentral also lists the same sequence under 2 other names. Lineage: Eukaryota; Metazoa; Chordata; Mammalia; Artiodactyla; Camelidae. The record is from Rfam by way of RNAcentral.